GUUGCUGUGGUUUUUAGCCGCUCCUCCGCUUUCCUACAGUUUUCCGGAGGCAGGUCCGAUGCCUGCAUAUAUUCUUCCUCUUCCUCAAGUGGGUCUGGUGUGUGGACUGACAGUUGCUCAAGUGCUCUUUCCUGGAACAGCACAUCGCUUUCUUGAUUCAAAUCGCUUAGGCUUCCUUGGAUAGAGCUCCUCCGUGAUCUUGAUUCUCCUCCCGGGCUUCCUCGUUGUCUGGAGGACUCUUUUCCCAUCAUGUUGCCGACCACCCUUCACAGCUCCCGGACAUGGUCUUGAAGCACAGAACGGGAGAUUACGCUCUCCGAAGCUCCAAGAAGAGACAAUCCUCACCCACGAGUCUCCACUGUCCUGUUCCCACCAGCCACCGGGACACCGGCAACCCACCAUCGCACCCCUCAGACCCUCACUCUCUCUCAUCCAUCUACCCCCUCUACUUCCCUUAUCUCUUACCCUCAUCCCUACAUCCCUUCCCCUCGAACCCUUUUUCCUUUUCAUAACUUUAGCAAUAAACCGUUCAAACUCAUAUCGCCACCAGUGUGGUCAUUGUUAUUGAAUGACAUUGGUGAGGUACAAGCUAUAGUCA
Molecule: long non-coding RNA, 598 nt
Organism: Pseudoliparis swirei
Lineage: Eukaryota; Metazoa; Chordata; Actinopteri; Perciformes; Liparidae
Exons: 2
Source: RefSeq, a predicted model, not a curated record